CCAGACUCCUACGGGAGGCAGCAGUGAGGAAUAUUGGUCAAUGGGCGAGAGCCUGAACCAGCCAAGUAGCGUGAGGGAAGACGGUCCUAUGGAUUGUAAACCUCUUUUGCCGGGGAGCAAAAAGCGGUACGUGUACCGCAUCGAGAGUACCCGGAGAAAAAGCAUCGGCUAACUCCGUGCCAGCAGCCGCGGCAAUACGUAGGGGGCAAGCGUUAUCCGGAUUUACUGGGUGUAAAGGGAGCGUAGACGGCUGUGCAAGCCAGAUGUGAAAGCCCGGGGCUCAACCCCGGGACUGCAUUUGGAACUGUGUGGCUGGAGUGUCGGAGAGGCAGGCGGAAUUCGUAGGGUAGCGGUGAGAUGCGUAGAUAUUAGGAGGAAAACCAGUGGCGAAGGGGGCCUGCUGGACAAUGACUGACGUUGAGGCUCGAAAGCGUGGGGAGCAAACAGGAUUAGAUACCCGUGUAAA
This 466-nucleotide ribosomal RNA is filed under the name uncultured bacterium. Its description in RNAcentral is "bacterial SSU rRNA". It matches the Rfam family "Bacterial small subunit ribosomal RNA", at positions 331 to 793 of the family's 1533-position model. The record is from RNAcentral.